RNAcentral lists this ribosomal RNA (254 nucleotides) under uncultured bacterium. RNAcentral describes it as "partial 16S ribosomal RNA". It matches the Rfam family "Bacterial small subunit ribosomal RNA", at positions 524 to 776 of the family's 1533-position model. The record is from RNAcentral.
UACGUAGGGUCCGAGCGUUGUCCGGAAUUAUUGGGCGUAAAGGGCUCGUAGGCGGUUUGUCGCGUCGGGAGUGAAAACUCAGGGCUCAACCCUGAGCGUGCUUCCGAUACGGGCAGACUAGAGGUAUGCAGGGGAGAACGGAAUUCCUGGUGUAGCGGUGGAAUGCGCAGAUAUCAGGAGGAACACCGGUGGCGAAGGCGGUUCUCUGGGCAUUACCUGACGCUGAGGAGCGAAAGCAUGGGGGAGCGAACAGG